UUUUCUGAAGUCAGCGUCACAUAAUUUUUUCCAUUUGAGAAAAAGAAAGUACGCUGUUAGAAAAAAAAAAAGAGAGGACGUCUAAAACAGCACAUUCAAAAUAACAUUCAGCCAGAUGCUUAGCAAGAGGUGGGAGGGGGAAUCCAGUAUUUGCAAGUAAACAGGUAAUCGGAGGAACAAAGCAUGUUGGGCAUUUCACAACAAAUCUUUGACCGCAGAA
Callorhinus ursinus (northern fur seal) is the source of this 220-nucleotide non-coding RNA. Lineage: Eukaryota; Metazoa; Chordata; Mammalia; Carnivora; Otariidae. The record is from RefSeq and is a predicted model, not a curated record.